UAUGAGACACUCGUCUCUUUUAAAUGCCUCGUUUAUCAAUUUUACGUCUAAAGUAUAAAAACUUGAAACGAGGUUGUUGACCCUAAAGUACAACUAUCCUGUAUCAGUACAAAAAAUCACAAAUAUAUGAGACACUCGUCUCUUUCAAAUGCCUCGUUUAUCAAUUUUACGUCUAAAGUAUAAAAACUUGAAACGAGGUUGUUGACCCAAAAGUACAAUUAUCCUGUAUCAAUAUAAAAAAUCGCAAAUAUAUGAGACACUCGUCUCUUUUAAGUGCCUCGUUUAUCAAUUUUACGUCUAAAAUAUAGAAACUUGAAACGAGGUUGUUGACCCUAAAGUACAACUAUCCUGUAUCAGUACAAAAAAUCACAAAUAUAUGAGACACUCGUCUUUUUUAAAUGCCUCGUUUAUCAAUUUUACGUCUAAAGUAUAAAAACUUGAAACGAGGUUGUUGACCCAAAAGUACAAUUAUCCUGUAUCAAUAUAAAAAAUCGCAAAUAUAUGAGACACUCGUCUCUUUUAAGUGCCUCGUUUAUCAAUUUUACGUCUAAAAUAUAGAAACUUGAAACGAGGUUGUUGACCCUAAAGUACAACUAUCCUGUAUCAGUACAAAAAAUCACAAAUAUAUGAGACACUCGUCUCUUUCAAAUGCCUCGUUUAUCAAUUUUACGUCUAAAGUAUAAAAACUUGAAACGAGGUUGUUGACCCAAAAGUACAAUUAUCCUGUAUCAAUAUAAAAAAUCGCAAAUAUAUGAGACACUCGUCUCUUUUAAGUGCCUCGUUUAUCAAUUUUACGUCUAAAAUAUAGAAACUUGAAACGAGGUUGUUGACCCUAAAGUACAACUAUCCUGUAUCAGUACAAAAAAUCACAAAUAUAUGAGACACUCGUCUUUUUUAAAUGCCUCGUUUAUCAAUUUUACGUCUAAAGUAUAAAAACUUGAAACGAGGUUGUUGACCCUAAAGUACAAUUAUCCUGCAUCAAUACAAAAAAUCGCAAAUAUAUUUGACACUCGUCUCUUUUAAAUGCCUCGUUUAUCAAUUUUACGUCUAAAAUAUAAAAUCUGGAAACGAGGUUGUUGACCCUAAAGUACAAUUAUCCUGUAUUGAUACAAAUAAUCGCAAAUAUAAGAGACACUCGUCUAUUUUAAGUGCCUCGUUUAUCAAUUUUUCGUCUAAAAUCUAAAAACUUGAAACGAGGUUGUUGACCCUAAAGUACAAUUAUCCUGCAUCAGUACAAAAAAUCACAAAUAUAUGAGACAUUCGUCUCUUUUAAAUGCCUCGUUUAUCCAUUUUACGUCUAAAAUAUAAAAACUUGAAACGAGGUUGUUGACCCCAAAGUAUCCUCCUGCAUCAGUACAAAAAAUCACAAAUAUAUGAGACACUCGUCUCUUUUAAAUGCCUCGUUUAUCAAUUUUACGUCUUAAGUAUAAAAACUUGAAACGAGGUUGUUGACCCUAAAGUACAAUUAUCCUGUAUCAAAAUAAAAAAUCACAAAUGUAUGAGACACUCGUCUCUUUUAAAUGCCUCGUUUAUCAAUUUUACGUCUAAAAUCUAAAAACUUGAAACGAGGUUGUUGACCCUAAAGUACAAUUAUCCUGUAUCAAAAUAAAAAAUCACAAAUGUAUGAGACACUCGUCUCUUUUAAAUGCCUCGUUUAUCAAUUUUACGUCUAAAAUCUAAAAACUUGAAACGAGGUUAUUGACUCUAAAGUACAAUUAUCCUGCAUCAGUACAAAAAAUCACAAAUAUAUGAGACACUCGUCUCUUUUAAGUGCCUCGUUCAUCAAUCCUACGUCUAAAAUAUAAAAACUUGAAACGAGGUUGUUGACCCUAAAGUACAAUUAUUCUGCAUUAAUACAAAAAAUCGCAUAUAUGAGACACUCGUCUCUUUUGAAUGCCUCGUUUAUCAAAUUUAAUCCUGUAUCAAUACAAAAAAUCGCAAAUAUAUGAGACACUCGUCUCGUUUUGAUGCCUCGUUUAUCAAUUUUUCGUCUAAAAUCUAAAAACUUGAAACGAGGUUGUUGACCCUAAACUACAAUUAUGCUGUAUCAAUACAAAAAAUCGCAAAUAUAUGAGACACUCGUCUCGUUUUGAUGCCUCGUUUAUCAAUUUUAUGUCUAAAAUAUAAAAACUUGAAACGAGGUUGUUGACCCUAAAGUACAACUAUCCUGUAUCAGUACAAAAAAAUCACAAAUAUAUGAGACACUCGUCUCUUUUAAAUGCCUCGUUUAUCUAUUUUACGUCUAAAGUAUAAAAACUUGAAACGAGGUUGUUGACCCUAAAGUUUAACUAUCCUGUAUCAGUACAAAAAAUCACAAAUAUAUGAGACACUCGUCUCUUUUAAAUGCCUCGUUUAUCAAUUUUACGUCUAAAGUAUAAAAACUUGAAACGAGGUUGUUGACCCUAAAGUACAAUUAUCCUGUAUCAGUACAAAAAAUCACAAAUAUAUGAGACACUCGUCUCUUUUAAAUGCCUCGUUUAUCAAUUUUACGUCUAAAAUAUAAAACUUGAAACGAGGUUGUUGACCCUAAAGUACAAUUAUCCUGCAUUAAUACAAAAAAUCGCAUAUAUGAGACACUCGUCUCUUUUUAAUGCCUUGUUUAUCAAUUUUACGGCUAAAAUAUAAGAACUUGAAACAAGGUUAAUCACCCUAAAGUACAAUUAUUCUGUAUCAUUACAAAAAAUCGCAAGUAUAUGAGACACUCGUCUCAUUUAAAUGCCGCGUUUAUCAAUUUUGCGGCUAAAGUAUAAGAACUUGAAACGAGGUGUUGACCCUAAAGUACAAUUAUCCUGUAUCAAUAUAAAAAAUCGCAAAUAUAUGAGACACUCGUCUCUUUUAAGUGCCUCGUUUAUCAAUUUUACGUCUAAAAUAUAGAAACUUGAAACGAGGUUGUUGACCCUAAAGUACAACUAUCCUGUAUCAGUACAAAAAAUCACAAAUAUAUGAGACACUCGUCUCUUUCAAAUGCCUCGUUUAUCAAUUUUACGUCUAAAGUAUAAAAACUUGAAACGAGGUUGUUGACCCAAAAGUACAAUUAUCCUGUAUCAAUAUAAAAAAUCGCAAAUAUAUGAGACACUCGUCUCUUUUAAGUGCCUCGUUUAUCAAUUUUACGUCUAAAAUAUAGAAACUUGAAACGAGGUUGUUGACCCUAAAGUACAACUAUCCUGUAUCAGUACAAAAAAUCACAAAUAUAUGAGACACUCGUCUUUUUUAAAUGCCUCGUUUAUCAAUUUUACGUCUAAAGUAUAAAAACUUGAAACGAGGUUGUUGACCCUAAAGUACAAUUAUCCUGCAUCAAUACAAAAAAUCGCAAAUAUAUUUGACACUCGUCUCUUUUAAAUGCCUCGUUUAUCAAUUUUACGUCUAAAAUAUAAAAUCUGGAAACGAGGUUGUUGACCCUAAAGUACAAUUAUCCUGUAUUGAUACAAAUAAUCGCAAAUAUAAGAGACACUCGUCUAUUUUAAGUGCCUCGUUUAUCAAUUUUUCGUCUAAAAUCUAAAAACUUGAAACGAGGUUGUUGACCCUAAAGUACAAUUAUCCUGCAUCAGUACAAAAAAUCACAAAUAUAUGAGACAUUCGUCUCUUUUAAAUGCCUCGUUUAUCCAUUUUACGUCUAAAAUAUAAAAACUUGAAACGAGGUUGUUGACCCCAAAGUAUCCUCCUGCAUCAGUACAAAAAAUCACAAAUAUAUGAGACACUCGUCUCUUUUAAAUGCCUCGUUUAUCAAUUUUACGUCUUAAGUAUAAAAACUUGAAACGAGGUUGUUGACCCUAAAGUACAAUUAUCCUGUAUCAAAAUAAAAAAUCACAAAUGUAUGAGACACUCGUCUCUUUUAAAUGCCUCGUUUAUCAAUUUUACGUCUAAAAUCUAAAAACUUGAAACGAGGUUGUUGACCCUAAAGUACAAUUAUCCUGCAUCAGUACAAAAAAUCACAAAUAUAUGAGACACUCGUCUCUUUUAAGUGCCUCGUUCAUCAAUCCUACGUCUAAAAUAUAAAAACUUGAAACGAGGUUGUUGACCCUAAAGUACAAUUAUUCUGCAUUAAUACAAAAAAUCGCAUAUAUGAGACACUCGUCUCUUUUGAAUGCCUCGUUUAUCAAAUUUAAUCCUGUAUCAAUACAAAAAAUCGCAAAUAUAUGAGACACUCGUCUCGUUUUGAUGCCUCGUUUAUCAAUUUUUCGUCUAAAAUCUAAAAACUUGAAACGAGGUUGUUGACCCUAAAGUACAAUUAUCCUGUAUCAGUACAAAAAAUCUCAAAUAAAUGAGACACUCGUCUCUUUUAAAUGCCUCGUUUAUCAAUUUUACGUCUAAAAUAUAAAAACUUGAAACGAGGUUGUUGACCCUAAAGUACAAAUAUCUUGUAUCAAUACAAAAAUCGCAAAUAUAUGAGACACUCGUCUCUUUUAAGUGCCUCGUUUAUCAAUCCUACGUCUAAAAUCUAAAAACUUGAAACGAGGUUGUUGACCCUAAAGUACAAUUAUCCUGUAUUGAUACAAAUAAUCGCAAAUAUAAGAGACACUCGUCUAUUUUAAGUGCCUCGUUUAUCAAUUUUUCGUCUAAAAUCUAAAAACUUGAAACGAGGUUGUUGACCCUAAAGUACAAUUAUCCUGCAUCAGUACAAAAAAUCACAAAUAUAUGAGACAUUCGUCUCUUUUAAAUGCCUCGUUUAUCAAAUUUACGGCUAAAAUAUAAAAUCUGGAAACGAGGUUGUUGACCCUAAAGUACAAUUAUCCUGUAUUGAUACAAAUAAUCGCAAAUAUAAGAGACACUCGUCUAUUUUAAGUGCCUCGUUUAUCAAUUUUUCGUCUAAAAUCUAAAAACUUGAAACGAGGUUGUUGACCCUAAAGUACAAUUAUCCUGCAUCAGUACAAAAAAUCACAAAUAUAUGAGACAUUCGUCUCUUUUAAAUGCCUCGUUUAUCCAUUUUACGUCUAAAAUAUAAAAACUUGAAACGAGGUUGUUGACCCCAAAGUAUCCUCCUGCAUCAGUACAAAAAAUCACAAAUAUAUGAGACACUCGUCUCUUUUAAAUGCCUCGUUUAUAAAUUUUACGUCUAAAAUAUAAAAACUUGAAACGAGGUUGUUGACCCUAAAGUACAAUUAUCCUGUAUCAAAACAAAAAAUCGCAAAUAUAUGAGACACUCGUCUCUUUUAAAUGCCUCGUUUAUCAAUGUUACGUCUAAAAUAUAAAAACUUGAAACGAGGUUGUUGACCCUAAAGUACAAUUAUCCUGUAUUGAUACAAAUAAUCGCAAAUAUAUGAGACAUUCGUCUCUCUUAAUUGCCUCGUUUAUCAAUCCUACGUCAAAAAUAUAAAAACUUGAAACGAGGUAGUUGACCCUAAAGUACAAUUAUUCUGCAUUAAUACAAAAAAUCGCAUUUAUGAGACACUCGUCUCUUU
Long non-coding RNA from Hydractinia symbiolongicarpus, 5399 nucleotides. RefSeq lists it as uncharacterized. The transcript has 3 exons. NCBI's taxonomy places the organism in Eukaryota, Metazoa, Cnidaria, Hydrozoa, Anthoathecata, Hydractiniidae. The record is from RefSeq and is a predicted model, not a curated record.